This 439-nucleotide ribosomal RNA is filed under the name uncultured bacterium. RNAcentral's name for it is "partial 16S ribosomal RNA". It matches the Rfam family "Bacterial small subunit ribosomal RNA", at positions 339 to 795 of the family's 1533-position model. The record is from RNAcentral.
CUACGGGAGGCUGCAGUGGGGAAUCUUGGACAAUGGGCGCAAGCCUGAUCCAGCCAUGCCGCGUGAGUGAAGAAGGCCUUAGGGUCGUAAAGCUCUUUCGCCAGAGAUGAUAAUGACAGUAUCUGGUAAAGAAACCCCGGCUAACUCCGUGCCAGCAGCCGCGGUAAUACGGAGGGGGUUAGCGUUGUUCGGAAUUACUGGGCGUAAAGCGCGCGUAGGCGGAUUAGUCAGUCAGAGGUGAAAUCCCAGGGCUCAACCCUGGAACUGCCUUUGAUACUGCUAGUCCUGAGUUCGAGAGAGGUGAGUGGAAUUCCGAGUGUAGAGGUGAAAUUCGUAGAUAUUCGGAGGAACACCAGUGGCGAAGGCGGCUCACUGGCUCGAUACUGACGCUGAGGUGCGAAAGUGUGGGGAGCAAACAGGAUUAGAUACCCCCGUAGUC